AGAGUUUGAUCCUGGCUCAGGAUGAACGCUAGCUACAGGCUUAACACAUGCAAGUCGAGGGGCAUCAGGGAUUUAGCUUGCUAAAUCCGCUGGCGACCGGCGCACGGGUGCGUAACGCGUAUCCAACCUUCCCGUUACUCUUGGAUAGCCUUCCGAAAGGGAGAUUAAUACAAGAUGGUGUUUCAAAUUCGCAUGUAGAUGAAACUAAAGAUUUAUCGGUAACGGAUGGGGAUGCGUUCCAUUAGCUUGUUGGCGGGGUAACGGCCCACCAAGGCAACGAUGGAUAGGGGUUCUGAGAGGAAGGUCCCCCACACUGGAACUGAGACACGGUCCAGACUCCUACGGGAGGCAGCAGUGAGGAAUAUUGGUCAAUGGUCGAGAGACUGAACCAGCCAAGUAGCGUGAAGGAUGAAGGUUCUAUGGAUUGUAAACUUCUUUUAUAAGGGAAUAAAACCACCUACGUGUAGGUGCUUGUAUGUACCUUAUGAAUAAGCAUCGGCUAACUCCGUGCCAGCAGCCGCGGUAAUACGGAGGAUGCGAGCGUUAUCCGGAUUUAUUGGGUUUAAAGGGUGCGCAGGCGGACUGUCAAGUCAGCGGUAAAAUUUCGGGGCUCAACCCCGUCCGGCCGUUGAAACUGGCAGACUGGAGUGCGGCAGAGGGAUGCGGAAUGCGAGGUGUAGCGGUGAAAUGCAUAGAUAUCGCGCAGAACUCCGAUUGCGAAGGCAGCGUCCCAUGCCGUAACUGACGCUGAGGCACGAAAGCGUGGGGAUCGAACAGGAUUAGAUACCCUGGUAGUCCACGCAGUAAACGAUGAGCACUAGCCUUUCGGGCCGAAUGAGGCCUGGGAGGCACAGCGAAAGCGUUAAGUGCUCCACCUGGGGAGUACGCCGGCAACGGUGAAACUCAAAGGAAUUGACGGGGGCCCGCACAAGCGGAGGAACAUGUGGUUUAAUUCGAUGAUACGCGAGGAACCUUACCCGGGCUCAAACGACAGGGGAAUGGCGUGGAAACAUGCCAGCCGGCAACGGCCGCUGUCGAGGUGCUGCAUGGUUGUCGUCAGCUCGUGCCGUGAGGUGUCGGCUUAAGUGCCAUAACGAGCGCAACCCCCAUCUUCAGUUACUAACGGGUCAAGCCGAGGACUCUGGAGAGACUGCCGGCGCAAGCUGCGAGGAAGGCGGGGAUGACGUCAAAUCAGCACGGCCCUUACGUCCGGGGCGACACACGUGUUACAAUGGCGGGGCACAGAGGGAGGCCAUGGCGCGAGCCAGAGCGGAUCCCGAAAACCCGUCUCAGUUCGGAUCGGAGUCUGCAACCCGACUCCGUGAAGCUGGAUUCGCUAGUAAUCGCGCAUCAGCCAUGGCGCGGUGAAUACGUUCCCGGGCCUUGCACACACCGCCCGUCA
Molecule: ribosomal RNA, 1402 nt
Filed under: uncultured bacterium
Lineage: Bacteria
Description: 16S ribosomal RNA
Rfam family: Bacterial small subunit ribosomal RNA
Source: RNAcentral